UAGAUGUGGAAUACAGAUAGUUUGUUAAGA
RNAcentral lists this non-coding RNA (30 nucleotides) under Rattus norvegicus (Norway rat). Lineage: Eukaryota; Metazoa; Chordata; Mammalia; Rodentia; Muridae. The record is from RNAcentral.